RNAcentral lists this ribosomal RNA (440 nucleotides) under uncultured bacterium. RNAcentral describes it as "partial 16S ribosomal RNA". It matches the Rfam family "Bacterial small subunit ribosomal RNA", at positions 338 to 795 of the family's 1533-position model. The record is from RNAcentral.
CCUACGGGAGGCAGCAGUGGGGGAUAUUGCACAAUGGGGGGAACCCUGAUGCAGCGACGCCGCGUGGGUGAAGAAGCGCCUCGGCGCGUAAAGCCCUGUCAGCAGGGAAGAACAUGACGGUACCUGAAGAAGAACCUCCGGCCAACUACGUGCCAGCAGCCGCCGUAAUACGGAGGGGGCAAGCGGUAUCCGGAUUUACUGGGUGAAACGGGGGCGCAGACGGCGUUGCAAGCCAGGAGUGAACGCCCGGGGCCCAACCCCGGGACGGCUCUGGAAACUGCGUGGCUGGAGUGCAGGAGGGGAAGGCGGAAUUCCAGGUGUAGCGGUGAAAUGCGUAGAGAUCAGGAGGAACACCAGUGGCGAAGGCGGCCUGCUGGUCUGCAACUGACGUUGAGGCGCGAAAGCGUGGGGAGCAAACAGGAUUAGAUACCCGAGUAGUC